Molecule: ribosomal RNA, 2003 nt
Filed under: Clostridioides difficile
Lineage: Bacteria; Bacillati; Bacillota; Clostridia; Peptostreptococcales; Peptostreptococcaceae
Description: partial 23S ribosomal RNA
Rfam family: Bacterial large subunit ribosomal RNA
Source: RNAcentral
UUUAACUGAGCGUUCAGUUACUUGACGUAGACCCGAAACCGGGCGACCUACCCAUGAGCAGGAUGAAGCGAAAGUAAAAUUUCGUGGAGGUCCGAACCCACGAGCGUUGAAAAGCUCGGGGAUGACUUGUGGGUAGCGGUGAAAUUCCAAUCGAGCCCGGAGAUAGCUGGUUCUCCCCGAAAUAGCUUUAGGGCUAGCCUCAAGGUGAGAGAUACGGAGGUAGAGCACUGAAUGUCCUAGGGGGUAUUGCACCUACCGAAGACUAUCAAACUCCGAAUGCCGUCAUCUUAUACUUGGGAGUCAGACUGUGGGUGAUAAGAUUCAUAGUCGAAAGGGCAACAGCCCAGAUCGUCAGCUAAGGUCCCUAAAUGUAAGUUAAGUGGUAAAGGAUGUGGGAUUGCACAGACAACCAGGAUGUUGGCUUAGAAGCAGCCACUCAUUCAAAGAGUGCGUAAUAGCUCACUGGUCGAGUGAUCCUGCGCCGAAGAUUUCCGGGGCUAAAACUUACUACCGAAGCUACGGCAUCAGUAAUGAUGGGUAGGGGAGCUUCCCAUACGGGUUGAAGCAUGACCGUAAGGACAUGUGGACAGUAUGGGAGUGAGAAUGUUGGCAUGAGUAGCGAGAUGUGGGUGAGAAUCCCACAGGCCGUAAACCCAAGGUUUCCAGGGGAAGGUUCGUCCGCCCUGGGUUAGUCGGGACCUAAGCUGAGGCCGAAAGGCGUAGGUGAUGGACAACAGGUUGAUAUUCCUGUACUACCGAUAACCGUUUGAGAGAUGGGAUGACACAGUAGGAUAAGCUAAGCACACUGUUGGUUAUGUGUGCCCAAGCAUUGAGGCAGUCAAAGUAGGCAAAUCCGCUUUGAUAAUGCUGGGAUGUGAUGGGGAGCGAAAUUUAGUAGCGAAGUAGCUGAUUUCACACUGUCAAGAAAAGUCUCUAUCGAGGUUAAAGGUACCCGUACCGCAAACCGACACAGGUGGGUGAGGAGAGUAUCCUAAGGCUAGCGAGAGAACUGUUGUUAAGGAACUCGGCAAAAUGACCCCGUAACUUAGGGAUAAGGGGUGCCACCAUCAGGUGGCCGCAGAGAAUAGGCCCAAGCGACUGUUUACCAAAAACAUAGGUUUCUGCUAAGUCGCAAGACGAUGUAUAGGAGCUGACGCCUGCCCGGUGCUGGAAGGUUAAGGGGAUCUGUUAGAGCAAUCGAAGCAGUGAACUUAAGCCCCAGUAAACGGCGGCCGUAACUAUAACGGUCCUAAGGUAGCGAAAUUCCUUGUCGGGUAAGUUCCGACCCGCACGAAAGGCGUAACGAUUUGGGCACUGUCUCAACAACAGACUCGGUGAAAUUGUAAUUCCGGUGAAGAUGCCGGAUACCUGCGACAGGACGGAAAGACCCCAUGGAGCUUUACUGUAGCUUGACAUUGGGUCUUGGUACUACAUGUACAGGAUAGGUGGGAGGCUUUGAAACCAGGACGCCAGUUUUGGCGGAGCCAUCCUUGGGAUACCACCCUUGUAGUACUGGGACUCUAACCAUAGGCCAUGAAUCUGGUCUUGGGACACUGUCAGGUGGGCAGUUUGACUGGGGCGGUCGCCUCCCAAAAGGUAACGGAGGCGCUCAAAGGUUCUCUCAGUACGGUCGGAAAUCGUACGUAGAGUGUAAAGGCAAAAGAGAGCUUGAUUGCAAGACAUACAGGUCGAGCAAGGAUGAAAAUCGGACUUAGUGAUCCGGUGGUUCUGCGUGGAAGGGCCAUCGCUCAACGGAUAAAAGCUACCCUGGGGAUAACAGGCUUAUCUCCCCCAAGAGUCCACAUCGACGGGGAGGUUUGGCACCUCGAUGUCGGCUCAUCACAUCCUGGGGCUGUAGUAGGUCCCAAGGGUUGGGCUGUUCGCCCAUUAAAGUGGUACGCGAGCUGGGUUCAGAACGUCGUGAGACAGUUCGGUCCCUAUCCGUCGCAGGCGUAGGAAAUUUGAGAAGACCUGUCCUUAGUACGAGAGGACCGGGAUGGACG